AGCGGCGGACGGGUGAGUAAUGCCUAUGAAUCUGCCUGGUAGUGGGGGAUAACGUCCGGAAACGGACGCUAAUACCGCAUACGUCCUACGGGAGAAAGCAGGGGACCUUCGGGCCUUGCGCUAUCAGAUGAGCCUAGGUCGGAUUAGCUAGUUGGUGGGGUAAUGGCUCACCAAGGCGACGAUCCGUAACUGGUCUGAGAGGAUGAUCAGUCACACUGGAACUGAGACACGGUCCAGACUCCUACGGGAGGCAGCAGUGGGGAAUAUUGGACAAUGGGCGAAAGCCUGAUCCAGCCAUGCCGCGUGUGUGAAGAAGGUCUUCGGAUUGUAAAGCACUUUAAGUUGGGAGGAAGGGCAGUAAAUUAAUACUUUGCUGUUUUGACGUUACCGACAGAAUAAGCACCGGCUAACUCUGUGCCAGCAGCCGCGGUAAUACAGAGGGUGCAAGCGUUAAUCGGAAUUACUGGGCGUAAAGCGCGCGUAGGUGGUUCGUUAAGUUGGAUGUGAAAUCCCCGGGCUCAACCUGGGAACUGCAUUCAAAACUGACGAGCUAGAGUAUGGUAGAGGGUGGUGGAAUUUCCUGUGUAGCGGUGAAAUGCGUAGAUAUAGGAAGGAACACCAGUGGCGAAGGCGACCACCUGGACUGAUACUGACACUGAGGUGC
RNAcentral lists this ribosomal RNA (664 nucleotides) under uncultured bacterium. RNAcentral describes it as "bacterial SSU rRNA". It matches the Rfam family "Bacterial small subunit ribosomal RNA", at positions 94 to 754 of the family's 1533-position model. The record is from RNAcentral.